AAAAUACUAGUUGGACUGCACAUCUAAGUAGACUAGAAAAGCGAUCGACCGAGAUUUCUAUAGUAGCUGCGUGUGAAAUUGGAAAAGGAAAGCG
This 94-nucleotide ribosomal RNA is filed under the name uncultured Pyramimonadales. RNAcentral's name for it is "partial Bacterial large subunit ribosomal RNA". The record is from RNAcentral. Lineage: Eukaryota; Viridiplantae; Chlorophyta; Pyramimonadophyceae; Pyramimonadales.